RNAcentral lists this ribosomal RNA (253 nucleotides) under uncultured bacterium. Its description in RNAcentral is "partial 16S ribosomal RNA". It matches the Rfam family "Bacterial small subunit ribosomal RNA", at positions 524 to 776 of the family's 1533-position model. The record is from RNAcentral.
GACAGAGGGUGCAAACGUUGUUCGGAAUUACUGGGCGUAAAGCGCGUGUAGGCGGCCAUGCAAGUCGGAUGUGAAAGCCCUCGGCUCAACCGGGGAAGUGCACUCGAAACUGCAAGGCUAGAGUCUCGGAGAGGAUCGUGGAAUUCUCGGUGUAGAGGUGAAAUUCGUAGAUAUCGGGAGGAACACCAAUUGCGAAGGCAGCUCGCUGGGACGUAACUGACGCUGAGACGCGAAAGCGUGGGGAGCAAACAGG